CCUACGGGAGGCUGCAGUAGGGAAUAUUGCUCAAUGGGGGAAACCCUGAAGCAGCAACGCCGCGUGGAGGAUGAAGGUUUUCGGAUUGUAAACUCCUUUUGUUAGAGAAGAUAAUGACGGUACCUGACUAAGAAGCACCGGCUAAAUACGUGCCAGCAGCCGCGGUAAUACGUAUGGUGCAAGCGUUAUCCGGAUUUACUGGGUGUAAAGGGAGCGCAGGCGGCACGCUAAGCCUGAUGUGAAAACCCGCGGCCCAACCGCGGGAGUGCAUUGGGAACUGGCGAGCUGGAGUACCGGAGGGGCAGGCGGAAUUCCUAGUGUAGCGGUGAAAUGCGUAGAUAUUCGGAGGAACACCGGUGGCGAAGGCGGCCAACUGGGCUUUAACUGACGCUGAGGCUCGAAAGUGUGGGGAGCAAACAGGAUUAGAUACCCGAGUAGUC
RNAcentral lists this ribosomal RNA (440 nucleotides) under uncultured bacterium. Its description in RNAcentral is "partial 16S ribosomal RNA". It matches the Rfam family "Bacterial small subunit ribosomal RNA", at positions 338 to 795 of the family's 1533-position model. The record is from RNAcentral.